CUAAGAGACAGAGUGAGGGGAGCGGAGAAAUUCCAAUCGACCCUCGAGAUAGCUGGUUCUCUCCGAAAUAGCUUUAGGGCUAGCCUCAAGUGAUGAUUAUUGGAGGUAGAGCACUGUUUGGACGAGGGGCCCCUCUCGGGUUACCGAAUUCAGACAAACUCCGAAUGCCAAUUAAUUUAACUUGGGAGUCAGAACAUGGGUGAUAAGGUCCGUGUUCGAAAGUGAAACAGCCCAGACCACCAGCUAAGGUCCCAAAAUAUAUGUUAAGUGGAAAAGGAUGUGGGGUUGCCAGGACAAA
Molecule: ribosomal RNA, 298 nt
Filed under: Pseudomonas aeruginosa
Lineage: Bacteria; Pseudomonadati; Pseudomonadota; Gammaproteobacteria; Pseudomonadales; Pseudomonadaceae
Description: partial 23S ribosomal RNA
Rfam family: Bacterial large subunit ribosomal RNA
Source: RNAcentral